GACGAACGCUGGCGGCGUGCUUAACACAUGCAAGUCGAACGGAAAGGCCCUGCUUUUGUUGGGUGCUCGAGUGGCGAACGGGUGAGUCACACGUGAGUAACCCGCCCUUGACUGUGGGAUAACGUCAGGAAACUGGGGCUCAUACCGGAUAGGAGCUCCUGCUGCAUGGUGGGGGUUGGAAAGUUCCGGCGGUUGUGGAUGGACUCGCGGCUUAUCAGCUUGUUGGUGGGGUAGUGGCUUACCAAGGCUUUGACGGGUAGCCGGCCUGAGAGGGUGACCGGCCACACUGGGACUGAGAUACGGCCCAGACUCCUACGGGAGGCAGCAGUGGGGAAUAUUGCACAAUGGGCGGAAGCCUGAUGCAGCAACGCCGCGUGCGGGAUGACGGCCUUCGGGUUGUAAACCGCUUUCGGCUGUGACGAAGCGUGAGUGACGGUAAUGAGUAAAGAAGCACCGGCUAACUACGUG
RNAcentral lists this ribosomal RNA (468 nucleotides) under uncultured bacterium. RNAcentral's name for it is "partial 16S ribosomal RNA". It matches the Rfam family "Bacterial small subunit ribosomal RNA", at positions 28 to 507 of the family's 1533-position model. The record is from RNAcentral.